ACGCUAGCUACAGGCUUAACACAUGCAAGUCGAGGGCAGCGGGUUGAAAGCUUGCUUUCAAUGCCGGCGACCGGCGCACGGGUGCGUAACGCGUAUCAAACCUGCCUCAUACUCGGGGAUAGCCUUGCGAAAGUAAGAUUAAUACCCGAUGUUGUUGCUUUCUCGCAUGGGAGAGUAACCAAAGAUUUAUCGGUAUGAGAUGGUGAUGCGUCCGAUUAGGUAGUAGGCGGGGUAACGGCCCACCUAGCCUUCGAUCGGUAGGGGUUCUGAGAGGAAGGUCCCCCACACUGGAACUGAGACACGGUCCAGACUCCUACGGGAGGCAGCAGUGAGGAAUAUUGGUCAAUGGGCGAGAGCCUGAACCAGCCAAGUAGCGUGCAGGAUGACGGCCCUCCGGGUUGUAAACUGCUUUUAGUUGGGAAUAAAAAAAGGGACUUGUCCCUUCUUGUAUGUACCUUCAGAAAAAGGACCGGCUAAUUCCGUGCCAGCAGCCGCGGUAAUACGGAAGGUCCAGGCGUUAUCCGGAUUUAUUGGGUUUAAAGGGAGCGUAGGCGGAUUGUUAAGUCAGCGGUUAAAGGGUGUGGCUCAACCAUGCAUUGCCGUUGAAACUGGCGAUCUUGAGUGCAGACAGGGAUGCCGGAAUUCGUGGUGUAGCGGUGAAAUGCUUAGAUAUCACGAAGAACUCCGAUCGCGAAGGCAGGUGUCCGGGCUGCAACUGACGCUGAGGCUCGAAAGUGUGGGUAUCAAACAGGAUUAGAUACCCUGGUAGUCCACACAGUAAACGAUGUAUACUCGCGGUUUGCGAUAGAUUGUAAGCCGCCAAGCGAAAGCAUUAAGUAUACCACCUGGGGAGUACGCCGGCUACGGUGAAACUCAAAGGAAUUGACGGGGGCCCGCACAAGCGGAGGAAC
RNAcentral lists this ribosomal RNA (911 nucleotides) under uncultured bacterium. Its description in RNAcentral is "bacterial SSU rRNA". It matches the Rfam family "Bacterial small subunit ribosomal RNA", at positions 33 to 938 of the family's 1533-position model. The record is from RNAcentral.